This 573-nucleotide ribosomal RNA is filed under the name Cryptopleura ramosa. Its description in RNAcentral is "eukaryotic LSU rRNA". It matches the Rfam family "Eukaryotic large subunit ribosomal RNA", at positions 352 to 981 of the family's 3401-position model. The record is from RNAcentral. Lineage: Eukaryota; Rhodophyta; Florideophyceae; Ceramiales; Delesseriaceae.
CGUGAGGGAAAGUUUCAAAGCACUUUGAAAAGAGGGUGAAAAGAACCUGAAACCGUUAUGGGGGAAGCGUAUUGGGUCAAAUUGAUUUGGGGGAGUGCUGCUGUUCAACGGGGUGAUUCCCGUGUACUCAGUGCAUUUUCUUACCCGUCGUGUGCUUUGGAUGGUCGAUUUUGGGCUGUCUGGGGCUGAGGGAUCCCCUUUUAUAGGGUGAAGACGAUGGGGCGCUGACACGAUACGACCCGUCUUGAAACACGGACCAAGGAGUUCAGCAUGUGUGCGAGUCAAAGGGUGAUUAAACCUGGGGGCGCAGUGAAAGCAACUUUUGUGUAAGGGAAUCCAACAUUAAGCAGUUUCAGGCGGCAUACGAUCGUUGAUUGUAGGACUGACCUAGAGCACAUGUGCUGAGACCCGAAAGAUGGUGAACUAUGCCGGAGUAGGGCGAAGCCAGAGGAAACUCUGGUGGAGGCUCGUAGCGGUGCUGACGUGCAAAUCGCUCGUCUGACUCGGGUAUAGGGGCGAAAGACUAAUCGAACCAUCUAGUAGCUGGUUUCCUCCGAAGUUCUCUCAGGAUAG